GUGAGUUUUCUGAGAGUGUCUCAUAUCUAAAACUUUUUCUCCUAUUUUUCAUCUUUGAAAGAGUCCAAAUCAAGAAGAAGGAGGCAUCUGAUCGACCAUCAAAGAAGGAUCAGCACAGUACUAGCAUACUGUGCUGAUUUUCUGAACCAGAACUUCUGAUCAUGAUUCGUGGGCUCGUGUGGACGACUCCUAGAGGUCGGAUGCAUGUGUGGCUCGCAACAUCAUCCUCAAACCUAGAUCAGCAAAGUUAUAACGUCUAACUUGCAAGGUAAUAGAUCUGAUCUAUUAUAUUUUACAUACAUUAGAUGUAGUAUAG
This 316-nucleotide long non-coding RNA is filed under the name Elaeis guineensis (African oil palm). Its description in RNAcentral is "long non-coding RNA (EGUI_LNC033301)". Lineage: Eukaryota; Viridiplantae; Streptophyta; Magnoliopsida; Arecales; Arecaceae. The record is from RNAcentral.